UACGAAGGGGGCUAGCGUUGCUCGGAAUCACUGGGCGUAAAGCGCACGUAGGCGGCUUUCUAAGUCAGGGGUGAAAUCCUGGAGCUCAACUCCAGAACUGCCUUUGAUACUGGAGAGCUAGAGUCCGGAAGAGGUGAGUGGAACUGCGAGUGUAGAGGUGAAAUUCGUAGAUAUUCGGAAGAACACCAGUGGCGAAGGCGGCUCACUGGACCGGUAUUGACGCUGAGGUGCGAAAGCGUGGGGAGCAAACAGG
This 253-nucleotide ribosomal RNA is filed under the name uncultured bacterium. RNAcentral's name for it is "partial 16S ribosomal RNA". It matches the Rfam family "Bacterial small subunit ribosomal RNA", at positions 524 to 776 of the family's 1533-position model. The record is from RNAcentral.